AUUCCCCUGCAGUGUACGUGAUUGGCAUUCAUUUUUGAGCCAACACCUUAGAACCGGGGAUCAUCAUUAUUUUCGCCGUGUGCGGCCGCGUAAGCCCUGUUUUUCAGGCGGCGGAAAGCCUGACGCGGAAAUAUGGAUUCCCACUUGGUCCCAAGGUUCAAAAAAGAUCGUCAACACGGCAUCAGUGGGGGUCAG
RNAcentral lists this non-coding RNA (195 nucleotides) under Syntrophobacterales bacterium. RNAcentral describes it as "6S RNA". It matches the Rfam family "6S / SsrS RNA". From Rfam's summary of the family: E. coli 6S RNA was the first non coding RNA to be sequenced, but its function was unknown until recently. Lineage: Bacteria; Pseudomonadati; Thermodesulfobacteriota; Syntrophobacteria; Syntrophobacterales. The record is from RNAcentral.